RNAcentral lists this small nuclear RNA (163 nucleotides) under Propithecus coquereli (Coquerel's sifaka). RNAcentral's name for it is "U1 spliceosomal RNA (ENSPCOG00000012169.1)". It matches the Rfam family "U1 spliceosomal RNA". From Rfam's summary of the family: U1 is a small nuclear RNA (snRNA) component of the spliceosome (involved in pre-mRNA splicing). Its 5' end forms complementary base pairs with the 5' splice junction, thus defining the 5' donor site of an intron. Lineage: Eukaryota; Metazoa; Chordata; Mammalia; Primates; Indriidae. The record is from RNAcentral.
UGACCAGCAGAGUAGGGGAUAUACCAUGAUCACGAAGGUGGAUUUCCCAAGCAAGGCUUAUCCAUUGCACUCUGGAUGUGCUGACCCCUGUGAUUUUUCCAAAUGAGGGAAGCUCAACAGCAUAAUUUGUGGUAGUGAGGAACUGCGAUUGUGUUCUCCCAUG